Molecule: ribosomal RNA, 497 nt
Filed under: uncultured bacterium
Lineage: Bacteria
Description: partial 16S ribosomal RNA
Rfam family: Bacterial small subunit ribosomal RNA
Source: RNAcentral
GACGAACGCUGGCGGCGUGCCUAAUACAUGCAAGUUGAGCGAUGAAGCUUGGUGCUUGCACCAAUUUGAAGAGCAGCGAACGGGUGAGUAACGCGUGGGGAAUCUGCCUUUGAGCGGGGGGCAACAUUUGGAAACGAAUGCUAAUACCGCAUAAUAACUUUAAACAUAAGUUUUAAGUUUGAAAGAUGCAAUUGCAUCACUCAAAGAUGAUCCCGCGUUGUAUUAGCUAGUUGGUGAGGUAAAGGCUCACCAAGGCGAUGAUACAUAGCCGACCUGAGAGGGUGAUCGGCCACAUUGGGACUGAGACACGGCCCAAACUCCUACGGGAGGCAGCAGUAGGGAAUCUUCGGCAAUGGACGAAAGUCUGACCGAGCAACGCCGCGUGAGUGAAGAAGGUUUUCGGAUCGUAAAACUCUGUUGGUAGAGAAGAACGUUGGUGAGAGUGGAAAGCUCAUCAAGUGACGGUAACUACCCAGAAAGGGACGGCUAACUACGUG